GAUGAACGCUGGCGGCGUGCCUAAUACAUGCAAGUCGAACGCUGGAAAUCUAGCUUGCUUGCUUGAAGGAGUGGCGAACGGGUGAGUAUUACAUAAGCAACCUACCCACGAAGGCUGGGAUAAUCUCUGGAAACGGGGACUAAUACCGGAUAGGUAAUCGGAAGGGAUCUUCUGAUUAGUAAAAGUUAAUAUCACUGGUGGAUGGACUUAUGUCGCAUUAGUUUGUUGGUGAGGUCACGGCCCACCAAGACGAUGUUGCGUAGCCGGCAUGAGAGGGUGACCGGCCACAUUGGGACUGCGGCCCAGCCCACACUCCUACGGGAGGCAGCAGUAGCUUAUUUUCAGCACUGGGGGAUUACCUGACCGAGCAACGCCGCUUGAGUGAUGCCGGCCUUCGGGAUGUACUGCUCUGUUGUAAGGGAAGAACUGUAGAUAGCUAAUCACUAAAUGACGGUACCUAACCAGAAAGCCACGGCUAACUACGUG
RNAcentral lists this ribosomal RNA (486 nucleotides) under uncultured bacterium. RNAcentral describes it as "partial 16S ribosomal RNA". It matches the Rfam family "Bacterial small subunit ribosomal RNA", at positions 28 to 507 of the family's 1533-position model. The record is from RNAcentral.